Molecule: ribosomal RNA, 460 nt
Filed under: uncultured bacterium
Lineage: Bacteria
Description: partial 16S ribosomal RNA
Rfam family: Bacterial small subunit ribosomal RNA
Source: RNAcentral
CCUACGGGAGGCAGCAGUGAGGAAUAUUGGUCAAUGGGCGGGAGCCUGAACCAGCCAAGUCGCGCGAGGGAAGACGGUCCUACGGAUUGUAAACCUCUUUUGCCGGGGAGCAACGGGGUCCUUGCGAGGGCCCGAUGAGAGUACCCGGAGAAAAAGCAUCGGCUAACUCCGUGCCAGCAGCCGCGGUAAUACGGAGGAUGCGAGCGUUAUCCGGAUUUAUGGGGUUUAAGGGGUGCGUAGGCGGGCUGUUAAGUCAGCGGUCAAAUGUCGGGGCUCAACCCCGGCCUGCCGUUGAAACUGGCGGCCUUGAGUGGGGGAGAGGUAUGCGGAAUGCGUGGUGUAGCGGUGAAAUGCAUAGAUAUAACGCAGAACACCGAUGGCGAAGGCAGAAUACCGGAGGACUACUGACGCUGAGGCGCGAAAGCGUGGGUAGCGAACAGGAUUAGAUACCCGUGUAGUC